RNAcentral lists this ribosomal RNA (1150 nucleotides) under Salmonella enterica. RNAcentral describes it as "partial 23S ribosomal RNA". It matches the Rfam family "Bacterial large subunit ribosomal RNA", at positions 1 to 1190 of the family's 2925-position model. The record is from RNAcentral. Lineage: Bacteria; Pseudomonadati; Pseudomonadota; Gammaproteobacteria; Enterobacterales; Enterobacteriaceae. RNAcentral also lists the same sequence under 2 other names.
GGUUAAGCGACUAAGCGUACACGGUGGAUGCCCUGGCAGUCAGAGGCGAUGAAGGGCGUGCUAAUCUGCGAUAAGCGCCGGUAAGGUGAUAUGAACCGUUAUAACCGGCGAUACCCGAAUGGGGAAACCCAGUGUGAUUCGUCACACUAUCAUUAACUGAAUCCAUAGGUUAAUGAGGCGAACCGGGGGAACUGAAACAUCUAAGUACCCCGAGGAAAAGAAAUCAACCGAGAUUCCCCCAGUAGCGGCGAGCGAACGGGGAGGAGCCCAGAGCCUGAAUCAGCAUGUGUGUUAGUGGAAGCGUCUGGAAAGGUGCGCGAUACAGGGUGACAGCCCCGUACACAAAAGCGCAUGUGCUGUGAGCUCGAUGAGUAGGGCGGGACACGUGGUAUCCUGUCUGAAUAUGGGGGGACCAUCCUCCAAGGCUAAAUACUCCUGACUGACCGAUAGUGAACCAGUACCGUGAGGGAAAGGCGAAAAGAACCCCGGCGAGGGGAGUGAAAAAGAACCUGAAACCGUGUACGUACAAGCAGUGGGAGCACAGGUUUACCUGUGUGACUGCGUACCUUUUGUAUAAUGGGUCAGCGACUUAUAUUCUGUAGCAAGGUUAACCGUAUAGGGGAGCCGGAGGGAAACCGAGUCUUAACCGGGCGUUAAGUUGCAGGGUAUAGACCCGAAACCCGGUGAUCUAGCCAUGGGCAGGUUGAAGGUUGGGUAACACUAACUGGAGGACCGAACCGACUAAUGUUGAAAAAUUAGCGGAUGACCUGUGGCUGGGGGUGAAAGGCCAAUCAAACCGGGAGAUAGCUGGUUCUCCCCGAAAGCUAUUUAGGUAGCGCCUCGUGAAUUCAUCUCCGGGGGUAGAGCACUGUUUCGGCUAGGGGGCCAUCCCGGCUUACCAACCCGAUGCAAACUGCGAAUGCCGGAGAAUGUUAUCACGGGAGACACACGGCGGGUGCUAACGUCCGUCGUGAAGAGGGAAACAACCCAGACCGCCAGCUAAGGUCCCAAAGUCAUGGUUAAGUGGGAAACGAUGUGGGAAGGCCCAGACAGCCAGGAUGUUGGCUUAGAAGCAGCCAUCAUUUAAAGAAAGCGUAAUAGCUCACUGGUCGAGUCGGCCUGCGCGGAAGAUGUAACGGGGCUAAACCAU